Long non-coding RNA from Homo sapiens (human), 1258 nucleotides. Ensembl annotates it as mir-99a-let-7c cluster host gene. Its record names the gene MIR99AHG. The record is from Ensembl. NCBI's taxonomy places the organism in Eukaryota, Metazoa, Chordata, Mammalia, Primates, Hominidae.
GGGUGGCGUGUGAGUGCGUGGAGGGUAAAAGCCAGUCAGUCAGUGAGAAGCAAAGAUCAACCACCUCAGAAGAGCCAGAUUCCACUUCUGUGGCCAGGACUUUUACAUUAUGGCUGGUCCGAUUGUUUUACCCUGCGUUCUAUGCUACUAAACCUUGGAUCAUUCCUAAAGUACAAAUUCUGUUCUCGAACCACAAACAAGGCUAAAAGAUCGGAGGAAAUUCAGUGAAUAUACAGGAUUGGGGUGUCUGAUGAUUUGUGAGCCUCAAGUGACUACUCUGUGGAAUCAUCUGUCCUUGCCUUUGAAUUAGCUUUCCCUAGGCCAUGAGUCAACAUUAGUAGUUUAUACAUCCAAAUUGUGUUGACUUCAUUCUCAGGUAAGCUUUCUGAAUGUGGUGGCAAAGAUGGCCACAUACAACUUCAGACUUGCAUCAUGCGUCAUCCUACAGCCUGUGAAUCCAGGAAAAAUAAACAAACAAAAAGAUUCUCUUUAUGCCAACAUCAAUUUCAGUUGUCAGAAAAUCUUGGAUUGGCUCUGUUUUGGUGACAUGCCCAUAUGUGGAUCCACUUAUUUGAUAAACAAGGACUACUCUGAUUGGAUGGCCAAUGUAGGGAGGCAAAAGACGACUAGCCUAUCAAGGUCAUGAGGAAUGAGUGAGGGUCUGUCAGUCGUAGAAAGUGAAAGGAAUUUAAAGCAGGCGGGAAUGUAAUGGAACACACAACCACCACUACACAUUUUUUAAUUACUGAGUAUAAUGAUGAUUGAUAGGCUUUUGAAAAUGUUUGUCUUGGUAAACUCACUGGUACCUAUCAAUGUGUAGGCAACAUUAGUUUAUUUUGCCAAAUGUCCUCUUACAGCAUGGAAACUAUAAAACAUCUGCUGCAGCAAAUCUCAACCUUGAGUGUCAUGAGAUUAAUUACUUUUAUUAACACUUUCCAUAAGCAUGUAAUAUAUGACAUAUACCAGGAAAGUCAGCAUUUGGUCUCAUUUAGGAAUUUGAAAUUUUAAAAAUUAUUUAAGAUUACUAGAAAUUGUUUGGUAAAGAAGAGAUGAUUAUUUUUUUCUGUAGCCUAUUGUGUCUAUCCUUAACCACCAUAUGAUCAGACCAUUUCCUUACAGCAAAUUUUAUAUCCUCCCCACUUUUACCUCUAAUGUUAGAGAUAAUUAGUGCUGAUUCUUGGAAAUUUUUAUUUUUGUUUAUGAAUUAAUUUCUUCCUCUACUACUAUUAUACAUAUAUAUAUGCAUUAUAUAUACAUA